Molecule: ribosomal RNA, 1133 nt
Filed under: Streptococcus thermophilus
Lineage: Bacteria; Bacillati; Bacillota; Bacilli; Lactobacillales; Streptococcaceae
Description: bacterial SSU rRNA
Rfam family: Bacterial small subunit ribosomal RNA
Source: RNAcentral
GACGCAAUGUCCUGACGAGCAUCGCGCGUGAGUGAGACGUUCGGAUCCGUAAAGCUCUGUUGGUAGGUCCAGACCGGGUGGUGGAGAGUGAAAGUCUCACUGUGACGGUAGGCUAACCAGAAAGGGACCGGCUAACUACGUGCCAGCAGCCGCGGUAAUACGUAGGUCCCGAGCGUUGUCCGGGAUUUAUUGGGCGUAAAGCGAGCGCAGGCCGGUUUGAUAAGUCUGAAGUUAAAGGCUGUGGCUCAACCAUAGUUCGCUUUGGAAACUGUCAAACUUGAGUGCAGAAGGGGAGAGUGGAAUUCCAUGUGUAGCGGUGAAAUGCGUAGAUAUAUGGAGGAACACCGGUGGCGAAAGCGGCUCUCUGGUCUGUAACUGACGCUGAGGCUCGAAAGCGUGGGGAGCGAACAGGAUUAGAUACCCUGGUAGUCCACGCCGUAAACGAUGAGUGCUAGGUGUUGGAUCCUUUCCGGGAUUCAGUGCCGCAGCUAACGCAUUAAGCACUCCGCCUGGGGAGUACGACCGCAAGGUUGAAACUCAAAGGAAUUGACGGGGGCCCGCACAAGCGGUGGAGCAUGUGGUUUAAUUCGAAGCAACGCGAAGAACCUUACCAGGUCUUGACAUCCCGAUGCUAUUUCUAGAGAUAGAAAGUUACUUCGGUACAUCGGUGACAGGUGGUGCAUGGUUGUCGUCAGCUCGUGUCGUGAGAUGUUGGGUUAAGUCCCGCAACGAGCGCAACCCCUAUUGUUAGUUGCCAUCAUUCAGUUGGGCACUCUAGCGAGACUGCCGGUAAUAAACCGGAGGAAGGUGGGGAUGACGUCAAAUCAUCAUGCCCCUUAUGACCUGGGCUACACACGUGCUACAAUGGUUGGUACAACGAGUUGCGAGUCGGUGACGGCGAGCUAAUCUCUUAAAGCCAAUCUCAGUUCGGAUUGUAGGCUGCAACUCGCCUACAUGAAGUCGGAAUCGCUAGUAAUCGCGGAUCAGCACGCCGCGGUGAAUACGUUCCCGGGCCUUGUACACACCGCCCGUCACACCACGAGAGUUUGUAACACCCGAAGUCGGUGAGGUAACCUUUUGGAGCCAGCCGCCUAAGGUGGGACAGAUGAUGGGGUGAAGUCGUAGCACGUGCC